RNAcentral lists this long non-coding RNA (288 nucleotides) under Gossypium barbadense (sea-island cotton). RNAcentral's name for it is "long non-coding RNA (GBAR_LNC022359)". The record is from RNAcentral. Lineage: Eukaryota; Viridiplantae; Streptophyta; Magnoliopsida; Malvales; Malvaceae.
UUAUGUAGUCCACCUUGCCUGACCAAAGCUUUGACCAGGCGUACGCUUUUUCUUAUGUGUUGAAUACACCUCAAGGGUCAUACAUGAAUAAUGACCAGCACUGGUUGGGGGAGGAGGAAAUGGACCGUAACCAACAACCAUACUACCGACGGAGGCCGCCCCAAUGGUACACCCCCCGAGACGAUAUAACUUUUGGUUCCCACCAGUUUUGAUAAUUGUAAAUUUCAUAUGUAAUAUGAAUUUGUACCACUACAAUUUUUUAUUUGUUGAAUAAAUUUAUACUUCCAA